This 416-nucleotide ribosomal RNA is filed under the name uncultured rape rhizosphere bacterium wr0081. Its description in RNAcentral is "bacterial SSU rRNA". It matches the Rfam family "Bacterial small subunit ribosomal RNA", at positions 27 to 489 of the family's 1533-position model. The record is from RNAcentral.
GAGCGAACGCUGCGGCAGGCUUAACACAUGCAAGUCGANCGGGCGUAGCAAUACGUCAGCGGCAGACGGGUGAGUAACGCGUGGGAACGUACCUUUUGGUUCGGAACAACACAGGGAAACUUGUGCUAAUACCGGAUAAGCCCUUACGGGGAAAGAUUUAUCGCCGAAAGAUCGGCCCGCGUCUGAUUAGCUAGUUGGUGAGGUAACGGCUCACCAAGGCGACGAUCAGUAGCUGGUCUGAGAGGAUGAUCAGCCACAUUNGGACUGAGACACGGCCCAAACUCCUACGGGAGGCAGCAGUGGGGAAUAUUGGACAAUGGGCGCAAGCCUGAUCCAGCCAUGCCGNNUGAGUGAUGAAGGCCCUAGGGUUGUAAAGCUCUUUUGUGCGGGAAGAUAAUGACGUACCGCNAGAUAAG